Molecule: ribosomal RNA, 506 nt
Filed under: uncultured Bacillota bacterium
Lineage: Bacteria; Bacillati; Bacillota
Description: bacterial SSU rRNA
Rfam family: Bacterial small subunit ribosomal RNA
Source: RNAcentral
UAGGGAAUCUUCCACAAUGGACGAAAGUCUGAUGGAGCAAUGCCGCGUGAGUGAAGAAGGUUUUCGGAUCGUAAAACUCUGUUGUGAGGGAAGAACAAGUACGAGAGUAACUGCUCGUACCUUGACGGUACCUCAUUAGAAAGCCACGGCUAACUACGUGCCAGCAGCCGCGGUAAUACGUAGGUGGCAAGCGUUGUCCGGAAUUAUUGGGCGUAAAGCGCGCGCAGGCGGUCCUUUAAGUCUGAUGUGAAAGCCCACGGCUCAACCGUGGAAGGUCAUUGGAAACUGGGGGACUUGAGUACAGAAGAGGAAAGCGGAAUUCCAAGUGUAGCGGUGAAAUGCGUAGAGAUUUGGAGGAACACCAGUGGCGAAGGCGGCUUUCUGGUCUGUAACUGACGCUGAGGCGCGAAAGCGUGGGGAGCAAACAGGAUUAGAUACCCUGGUAGUCCACGCCGUAAACGAUGAGUGCUAAGUGUUAGGGGGUUUCCGCCCCUUAGUGCUGCAGC